UACGAAGGGUGCUAGCGUCGUUCGGAAUUACUGGGCGUAAAGCGCGCGUAGGCGGCUUUACAAGUCAGGGGUGAAAUCCUGGAGCUCAACUCCAGAAUUGCCUUUGAAACUGUAAAGCUUGAGUGUCGGAGGGGAUAGCGGAAUUGCUAAUGUAGAGGUGAAAUUCGUAGAUAUUAGCAGGAACACCGGUGGCGAAGGCGGCUAUCUGGACGACAACUGACGCUGAGGCGCGAAAGCGCGGGGAUCAAACAGG
This 253-nucleotide ribosomal RNA is filed under the name uncultured bacterium. RNAcentral describes it as "partial 16S ribosomal RNA". It matches the Rfam family "Bacterial small subunit ribosomal RNA", at positions 524 to 776 of the family's 1533-position model. The record is from RNAcentral.